RNAcentral lists this ribosomal RNA (728 nucleotides) under Staphylococcus aureus. Its description in RNAcentral is "bacterial SSU rRNA". It matches the Rfam family "Bacterial small subunit ribosomal RNA", at positions 220 to 939 of the family's 1533-position model. The record is from RNAcentral. Lineage: Bacteria; Bacillati; Bacillota; Bacilli; Caryophanales; Staphylococcaceae.
UAUAGAUGGAUCCGCGCUGCAUUAGCUAGUUGGUAAGGUAACGGCUUACCAAGGCAACGAUGCAUAGCCGACCUGAGAGGGUGAUCGGCCACACUGGAACUGAGACACGGUCCAGACUCCUACGGGAGGCAGCAGUAGGGAAUCUUCCGCAAUGGGCGAAAGCCUGACGGAGCAACGCCGCGUGAGUGAUGAAGGUCUUCGGAUCGUAAAACUCUGUUAUUAGGGAAGAACAUAUGUGUAAGUAACUGUGCACAUCUUGACGGUACCUAAUCAGAAAGCCACGGCUAACUACGUGCCAGCAGCCGCGGUAAUACGUAGGUGGCAAGCGUUAUCCGGAAUUAUUGGGCGUAAAGCGCGCGUAGGCGGUUUUUUAAGUCUGAUGUGAAAGCCCACGGCUCAACCGUGGAGGGUCAUUGGAAACUGGAAAACUUGAGUGCAGAAGAGGAAAGUGGAAUUCCAUGUGUAGCGGUGAAAUGCGCAGAGAUAUGGAGGAACACCAGUGGCGAAGGCGACUUUCUGGUCUGUAACUGACGCUGAUGUGCGAAAGCGUGGGGAUCAAACAGGAUUAGAUACCCUGGUAGUCCACGCCGUAAACGAUGAGUGCUAAGUGUUAGGGGGUUUCCGCCCCUUAGUGCUGCAGCUAACGCAUUAAGCACUCCGCCUGGGGAGUACGACCGCAAGGUUGAAACUCAAAGGAAUUGACGGGGACCCGCACAAGCGGUGGAGCA